Sardina pilchardus (European sardine) is the source of this 308-nucleotide long non-coding RNA. RefSeq lists it as uncharacterized. NCBI's taxonomy places the organism in Eukaryota, Metazoa, Chordata, Actinopteri, Clupeiformes, Clupeidae. The record is from RefSeq and is a predicted model, not a curated record. The transcript is spliced from 3 exons.
UCGUGGGAGCCCAGACACGGCUACAGUAAACCUGGAGGACUGUGCAGACCUGGACAUUAGAGAAACAAUCAGGCUUCUGGAGGUGGAAUCAAACCUAUCAGCUGAAGAAAUGGGAAGGGUACAGAACGUGGCCUCUUCCUGGGACCUCCCUCCGCUAACCACAACCAACAGGGCCCUUAAUGCUCUGCGGUGAAAAAUGGAGCAACAGGGCUGACCGUGACAUCGGGAGAGCUGAGGCAGAUCAUCUUAAACAUGAUGCACCUGGACGGUCCGGUGGCGGAGACUUCAAGAAUUAAAUAAAAUUGCAA